UACGAGUGCUUCGAGCGUUAUCCGGAAUCAUUGGGCGUAAAGGGUGCGUAGGUGGCAAUGUUAGUCUCCCGUAAAAUCUUUCGGCUCAACCGAGAGUCCGCGGGAGAAACGGCAUUGCUUGAGGACGAGAGAGGUUUCUGGAACUCAUAGUGUAGCGGUGAAAUUCGUAGAUAUUCGGAAGAACACCAGUGGCGAAGGCGACUUACUGGACACAUAUUGACGCUGAGGUGCGAAAGCGUGGGGAGCAAACAGG
This 253-nucleotide ribosomal RNA is filed under the name uncultured bacterium. RNAcentral's name for it is "partial 16S ribosomal RNA". It matches the Rfam family "Bacterial small subunit ribosomal RNA", at positions 524 to 776 of the family's 1533-position model. The record is from RNAcentral.